ACGAACGUUGGCGGCGUGGAUUAGGCAUGCAAGUCGAACGAGAACCGGUGCUGUAGCAAUACAGUGCCGGGGAAAGUGGCGAAAGGGGCAGUAAGGCGUGGGUAACCUACCCCGGGGACGGGGAUAGCUACGGGAAACUGUAGGUAAUACCUGGCGAUUUGGUUGGAUGGCAUCAUCCGACUAAGAAAUGAAUUUCGCCUCGGGAGGGGCUCACGUAGUAUUAGCUUGUUGGUGAGGUAAUGGCUCACCAAGGCAAAGAUGCUUAGCGGGUGUGAGAGCACGACCCGCGCCACUGGCACUGAGACACUGGCCAGACACCUACGGGUGGCUGCAGUCGAGGAUCUUCCGCAAUGGGCNCAAGCCUGACGGAGCGACGCCGCGUGUGCGAUGAAGGCC
RNAcentral lists this ribosomal RNA (396 nucleotides) under uncultured bacterium. RNAcentral's name for it is "bacterial SSU rRNA". It matches the Rfam family "Bacterial small subunit ribosomal RNA", at positions 29 to 416 of the family's 1533-position model. The record is from RNAcentral.